Molecule: long non-coding RNA, 836 nt
Organism: Nicotiana attenuata
Lineage: Eukaryota; Viridiplantae; Streptophyta; Magnoliopsida; Solanales; Solanaceae
Exons: 2
Source: RefSeq, a predicted model, not a curated record
UCUAAAAUUUUCUACCAAAGGCGCGAAAAAAAAAAGUUUUCUUUUCUCUCUCUCACAAAAAAUCAGUAAAGACCUAAACCGAGCAAAAAUCCCAAAUUGCACCCGGUCUUCUCUCUCGCUCAAAUCCCAAAUUUCAGCCGCUGGUCACUCAAAUCCCAAACUUCAGCCACCAGAUUCCGAUCUCCACUACUUACACAACUCUAUUUUACUACUGAUUUUGUGCUUCUGUUGUUCUGAUCUUGGCCUAUAAGUAGUAGCAGCUAAAAAGAAUUCUUGUUUAUCACCCCGUAAACUUCAGGAAGGUGCUAUAGCAAAAGGACGAGGGCAAGGGCUUAGGCUUAAGUACGCUUUAGGGGUGUCUGAAAAUGAGGUGGGAUCCUUCCGUAAGAGUGCUCUUUAUUCUAGCAUGUCUACUGCAAAAGGUCUGGGAACGACAAAUAAAAACUCCUUGGUUCUUGAGAAAGAGCAUAUGCAAACUAAUGCUCUGUUUUCUUCAUCUGCUAAGCAAGUUGUGCAAUCCACCCAAACAUCUGAACCAAAUAUGGUUUCUCAAAUCUAUUAUGUUAUUUAUUUGUACAACUGAAUUUUAAUGUUGAAGUUUUUAUUAAUAUAAUUUUCUUGUACCAGGUUACAUAAUGAAGGAAAAGGAUUGAGGGCAUAGAUCUAUGGGCUAUUUUGGAUUUUCUAGAAAUGAAGGGGGAUCUUCUCAUAAGAGUGCUCUUUAUGCUAGUCAAAAUAUUCCACUACCACCUUCUAAUAGUAAAAGAUUAUAUUCUACCAUGUCUACUACAAAAUGAAUGCGAGCGACGAAUAUAAGACCUCUAGUUCUGGAGAAA